UUUACAUUCCAAGUCUUUGGCUGUGUCCGAAAUGGCAUACUAACGUACUACAUACUACAUACUCAAUGAGUAUAUACUGUAUACUCUGUACCAGAGCCCAAGAGAUAGUAAGAGUUGCGACACUCCCAUAGGGUGCCGUUGUACGCUUUCUUCCGGUCUACUUCCGGGUUGUGGAGGCUUGUUUAGUUCCAAGCACCGCUUCCACAGUGACAGCCACCGUUCAUUUGCACUGCAGGUUGUUGAGUAUAUGUGGAGUAUCCCGAGAGCCCUCACUGAAGACACGAAGACCCUCAUUGUUUCUCCCAUUGUCAAUAAAACAUACUAUUUCAUUCA
Acanthochromis polyacanthus (spiny chromis) is the source of this 333-nucleotide long non-coding RNA. RefSeq lists it as uncharacterized. The record is from RefSeq and is a predicted model, not a curated record. The transcript is spliced from 2 exons. NCBI's taxonomy places the organism in Eukaryota, Metazoa, Chordata, Actinopteri, Pomacentridae.